RNAcentral lists this ribosomal RNA (463 nucleotides) under uncultured bacterium. RNAcentral describes it as "bacterial SSU rRNA". It matches the Rfam family "Bacterial small subunit ribosomal RNA", at positions 156 to 638 of the family's 1533-position model. The record is from RNAcentral.
AGCGCCGACAAGCCCGCAUACGCUUCUCUGCGAGGGGAAGGAAAGCCUUUUCGGAGGCGCUGGUGGCUGGGCCUGUGGCCGAUUAGCUAGUUGGUGUGGUAAAGGCGCACCAAGGCGACGAUCGGUAGCUGGUCUGAGAGGACGAGCAGCCACACUGGGAUUGAGAACGGCCCAGACUCCUACGGGGGGCAGCAGUGAGGAAUUUUCCGCAAUGGAGGCAACUCUGACGGAGCAACGCCGCGUGCAGGACGACGCGUUUCGGCGUGUAAACUGCUUUUCUGUGGGACGACACAGCGACGGUACCACAGGAAGAAGCCCCGGCUAACUACGUGCCAGCAGCCGCGGUAAGACGUAGGGGGCGAGCGUUGUCCGGAGUUACUGGGCGUAAAGGGCCCGCAGGCGGAACGGGGCGUUUGCUGUGACAGCGCGCGGCUCAACUGCGCGAGGGUAGCAAAGACGGCCG